AGACUCUUGAUAACAGGAAGAGAAUGAAACUACUUCCGGGGCAAGACAGUAAACGCGCUUCCACGUGAACUAUCAGAUUGCACAAAACGGAUUCCGAUGAGGACGUGAUCUUUAUGCGGGAGAAGUCUCUCCUCAAGUCCCGGGACAUCACCAUUGACCAGGCAAAACGACUGGCGCUGCAGCAAGACAUUGAUCGAGAGUCCCAGCCCAAGCAAGCAGCCAGACGUCUGGCAGGCCAGAAGAGUUUUUCUGUGGCGAUGCCAGAGGCCAAGGUGCAAAAUAAGAUGGAGGCUGCAGAGGAGCAUGAGCAGAGCAUGAAGCAGAACGGUGUAAAGAAAGAGAAGAAAAGCAAGACAGAACAAACUACUGCACCUGAGAGAGAAGCCUGUGCUGUUGAUGAGGAAGGUCCAGGAGGAGUGAAGAAGAAAAAGAAAGAAAAGAGGAAAGGUGAGACAAAUGUUAAUUUAGAGGAGGCUUCAAAUGGCGAUGGAGGUGGUGAGAAACUGGAGAAGGAGAAAAAGAAGAAGAAGAAAAAUAUUGUCACUGAUUCUGUAACUGCCAAUGGCCAUGAUGCCAAGGAGCUGGAAGGAAAAUCAGAAGCCAGCAAAAAGAAGAAGCAGCUGGCUGAGGAGCAAAAUGAAGAGGAAACCAAACAGGCCUUAGCAAACAAAGAAGGGGGUGUGAAAAAAAUAAAGAAAAAACAGAAGUCUGCCGAGUUUGAGAUUGCACAGGUAGAGACAAGAGAAAAAGAGGAAGAACAAGUAACGGAUAAUGUGCCUAAGAAAGCCAAGAAGGAAAAGGCCAAGGCUUUAACUGUAAGUGCAGAAAAGACAGGGGUGCAAAAUAAAGAAAAGAAAAAGAAAACAAGCGAGAAGAAAGAGAUGGACACUGCUGAACCUGCAGCGGGAGCAGAGGAUGGACCAAAGUUAAAGAGAAAGAAAGCUCAAAAGAAGUCAGCUGAGAAAUUAGAGACGGUAGUAACACCAGAUGGAGAGAAUAGAGUGGCUGAAGAAAUAACUGUGAACAAGAAGAAGAAGAAAAAAGAAGCCAAGACUGAGCGUAAAGCUGCAGCUGAAGAAGAAGCAGAAACAGAGGAGAUCCAACACAACACCAAGAGGAAGAAAAACAAGCCUGGAGCUCCAAUGAAGGAGGAAACCGAGGAGACAGAAAUGAAGUCCAAGAAGACGGACAAAUCCAUCAACGGUGUUGUUUUAGCCGAAGAGGGGCGAGAGCCAGAGAGCAAAAAGAAAAAGGGGAAGAAGAGGAAAGCAGCUGUCGAAGUCAGUGGAGAGGAAGAGACGGGACCUAAGAGGAAGAGGGAGAUGAAGAAGGUGAGCUCAAAGGGGGAGGAGGAGGAACCAUUAUUGGAGACAGAAGAAGUCAAGGAGGAGGUGCAGAGCAGGGAAAGUGACACAAACGGCCAGAAAAGGAAGAAGAAGAAGAAGAAGAAGAAGAAGAAGAGCUCAUCUGAGGUACAAAUAAAGGUGGAGGGUGAAAGAGAAACAGCGGAGGACACAGAAACGGGUGCAAAAAGGAAGAAGAAGAAGAGGAAGAAGAAGAUCAAGCUGGGACAAGAAGCUGAAGCGGCGGCCCCUCAGAUGGACGUGGUCUUCCUGUCUGAGAAGACAGGAAAUGCAGACGAGGUGACCAUCAACCAGGUACAUGUCCGUGUGAAAAUCAUACACAUAAUCCAUAAUAUAUCCGCACAGAUUGCCAAGAUCUUUUGUCAUUUCUGUCCUAAAUUCAGUUUUUCUCAUCAU
Molecule: long non-coding RNA, 1760 nt
Organism: Myripristis murdjan (pinecone soldierfish)
Lineage: Eukaryota; Metazoa; Chordata; Actinopteri; Holocentriformes; Holocentridae
Source: Ensembl